AUUGAACGCUGGCGGCAGGCCUAACACAUGCAAGUCGAGCGGAUGAAGGGAGCUUGCUCCUGGAUUCAGCGGCGGACGGGUGAGUAAUGCCUAGGAAUCUGCCUGGUAGUGGGGGAUAACGUCCGGAAACGGGCGCUAAUACCGCAUACGUCCUGAGGGAGAAAGUGGGGGAUCUUCUGACCUCACGCUAUCAGAUGAGCCUAGGUCGGAUUAGCUAGUUGGUGGGGUAAAGGCCUACCAAGGCGACGAUCCGUAACUGGUCUGAGAGGAUGAUCAGUCACACUGGAACUGAGACACGGUCCAGACUCCUACGGGAGGCAGCAGUGGGGAAUAUUGGACAAUGGGCGAAAGCCUGAUCCAGCCAUGCCGCGUGUGUGAAGAAGGUCUUCGGAUUGUAAAGCACUUUAAGUUGGGAGGAAGGGCAGUAAGUUAAUACCUUGCUGUUUUGACGUUAACAACAGAAUAAGCACCGGCUAACUUCGUG
Molecule: ribosomal RNA, 484 nt
Filed under: uncultured bacterium
Lineage: Bacteria
Description: partial 16S ribosomal RNA
Rfam family: Bacterial small subunit ribosomal RNA
Source: RNAcentral